Molecule: small nuclear RNA, 114 nt
Filed under: Propithecus coquereli (Coquerel's sifaka)
Lineage: Eukaryota; Metazoa; Chordata; Mammalia; Primates; Indriidae
Description: U5 spliceosomal RNA (ENSPCOG00000008993.1)
Rfam family: U5 spliceosomal RNA
About the family: U5 RNA is a component of both types of known spliceosome. The precise function of this molecule is unknown, though it is known that the 5' loop is required for splice site selection and p220 binding, and that both the 3' stem-loop and the Sm site are important for Sm protein binding and cap methylation.
Source: RNAcentral
CUCUGGUUUCUCUUCAGAUCAUAUAAAUCUUUUGCCUUUUACUAAAGAUUUCCAUAGAGAGGAACAAUUCUGAGUCUUAUACCAAUUUUUUGAGGCUCUACAAAAAAAAAAGAU